This 277-nucleotide ribosomal RNA is filed under the name uncultured Barnesiella sp. Its description in RNAcentral is "partial 16S ribosomal RNA". It matches the Rfam family "Bacterial small subunit ribosomal RNA", at positions 355 to 630 of the family's 1533-position model. Lineage: Bacteria; Pseudomonadati; Bacteroidota; Bacteroidia; Bacteroidales; Barnesiellaceae. The record is from RNAcentral.
UGAGGAAUAUUGGUCAAUGGGGCGAGAGCCUGAACCAGCCAAGUCGCGUGAGGGAAGACGGUCCUACGGAUUGUAAACCUCUUUUGUCGGGGAACAAAAGGCGCCACGCGUGGUGUAUAGAGUGUACCCGAAGAAAAAGCAUCGGCUAACUCCGUGCCAGCAGCCGCGGUAAUACGGAGGAUGCGAGCGUUAUCCGGAUUUAUUGGGUUUAAAGGGUGCGCAGGCGGCGGAUCAAGUCAGCGGUCAAACUUCGGGGCUCAACCCGUUCGUUCGUCGU